GACGAACGCUGGCGGCGUGCUUAACACAUGCAAGUCGAACGGAAAGGCCCUGCUUUUGUGGGGUGCUCGAGUGGCGAACGGGUGAGUAACAAGUGAGUAACCUGCCCUUUACUUUGGGAUAACUUCCGGAAACUGGGGCUAAUACCGGAUAGGAGCUCCUGCUUCCUGGUGGGGGUUGGAAAGUUUCGGCGGUUGGGGAUGGACUCGCGGCUUAUCAGCUUGUUGGUGGGGUAGUGGCUUACCAAGGCUUUGACGGGUAGCCGGCCUGAGAGGGUGACCGGCCACAUUGGGACUGAGAUACGGCCCAGACUCCUACGGGAGGCAGCAGUGGGGAAUAUUGCACAAUGGGCGGAAGCCUGAUGCAGCAACGCCGCGUGCGGGAUGACGGCCUUCGGGUUGUAAACCGCUUUCGCCUGUGACGAAGCGUGAGUGACGGUAAUGGGUAAAGAAGCACCGGCUAACUACGUG
RNAcentral lists this ribosomal RNA (468 nucleotides) under uncultured bacterium. RNAcentral's name for it is "partial 16S ribosomal RNA". It matches the Rfam family "Bacterial small subunit ribosomal RNA", at positions 28 to 507 of the family's 1533-position model. The record is from RNAcentral.